GAGCAGCAUUGAAAGGAGAGAUUAGCACUCCCUUUGACAGAAUGGAAGAGGCCUUUGGACAUGAAAACAUGCAUGUAAGUAGGACCUUGUCACCUACUUCAUGAUAUCUAAUCACUGUUUGAA
Small nuclear RNA from Nannospalax galili (Upper Galilee mountains blind mole rat), 123 nucleotides. The record is from Ensembl. Lineage: Eukaryota; Metazoa; Chordata; Mammalia; Rodentia; Spalacidae.